AUCCGAGUAGUCUAAUUAAGAUUUUGAUUCGUGGUGUCAAAGAUAUUUUCAACAAUCUAGGAUU
Molecule: transfer RNA, 64 nt
Filed under: Peloridora minuta
Lineage: Eukaryota; Metazoa; Arthropoda; Insecta; Hemiptera; Peloridiidae
Description: tRNA-His
Source: RNAcentral